UGCGCAGACUCUGGCUCCAAAUGACGUCAAAAUUGCAAGAUGGAAGCGCCCGUUAGGGGCGUAUUUUGGCUUCAAGAACGUUGAGUGGGAACCAUAGACUGUAAAUAUUACUGGACAAACCCUGACCCGUCUGUUACAUAGGCAGCAAAUGAGUCCAAUCGACGGCCGCAUCCAUAUUGGAUUUGCAGUCUCAACCUAACUUCGGAUCAACCUAGCAACAGCAGGAAGGCGGGACUUAAACUCCGCCCAUUCAGUUCGUCGUUAGCAGUCCACUUUACAGCAUAGCUAACGGCUACGGCUGCUAGCAUCCCCAACGGUUUUCCUGCUCGUCCUGAGAAAACUCUAUAAACAACACAGUGUGGAUUAUUGGUGACUUGUCCUUCGAGGUGCCCAGAGAGCUGCAGAGACAGAGGAAGAAACCUGAGCCUCAACAACAUCUGCAUUUGUUGGUUCUUCUGGGGUGGACUUCAGUUGCUUCUCUUCAACAACUCGCUGCGAGGGAGGUCUCCCCCGGAUGGCCUGAGUGAUGUCACCCACAGGCUGAGAGCUGGAGCUGAGGCGGGCUACAUGCCUUAUUGUGAAUAACUCUUAUCCUUCAUCAAAUCAAAACUGAUGAGUCAUCAAAACAUUCACCCCCCGUACAGUGUGUGUCGAUCGAGACAUGAGCUAAUCACACCUAUUUAUUUGUUUUGUACCAAGCUGUAAACAUGUUAAUCUCUGCUGUAAAAACAGGCGUUUUGAAUGUGGUUUUUCAGAUUAAAUAAAUAUUUCUAUAUAAAUGCACUCCUUUAUGUCUACUUA
Labrus mixtus (cuckoo wrasse) is the source of this 801-nucleotide long non-coding RNA. RefSeq lists it as uncharacterized. NCBI's taxonomy places the organism in Eukaryota, Metazoa, Chordata, Actinopteri, Labriformes, Labridae. The transcript is spliced from 3 exons. The record is from RefSeq and is a predicted model, not a curated record.